GGGGCGCAGCAGGCGCGAAAACUUUACAAUGCUGGCAACAGCGAUAAGGGGACCUCGAGUGCCAGGAUACAAUCUUGGCUGUCGCGAUGCCUAAAAAGCACUGCAUAGCAAGGGCCGGGCAAGACCGGUGCCAGCCGCCGCGGUAACACCGGCGGCUCGAGUGGUAACCGCUAUUAUUGGGUCUAAAGGGUCUGUAGCCGGCCGGAUAAGUCUUUUGGGAAAUCCAGCUGCUCAACAGUUGGGCUUUCAGAAGAUACUGUUCGGCUCGAGACCGGGAGAGGUGAGAGGUACUUCAGGGGUAGGGGUGAAAUCUUGUAAUCCUUGAAGGACCACCAGUGGCGAAGGCGUCUCACCAGAACGGAUCUGACGGCAAGGGACGAAAGCUAGGGGCACGAACCGGAUUAGAUACCCGGGUAGUCCUAGCCGUAAACGAUACUCGCUAGGUGUCAGCCACGGUGCGACCGUGGUUGGUGCCGUAGGGAAGCCGUGAAGCGAGCCACCUGGGAAGUACGGCCGCAAGGCUGAAACUUAAAGGAAUUGGCGGGGGAGCACAAGGGCGAAUCGC
Molecule: ribosomal RNA, 565 nt
Filed under: uncultured archaeon
Lineage: Archaea
Description: bacterial SSU rRNA
Rfam family: Archaeal small subunit ribosomal RNA
Source: RNAcentral